UACGGAGGGGGCAAGCGUUGUUCGGAGUCACUGGGCGUAAAGGGCGCGUAGGCGGUGCAUCAAGUCAGGCGUGAAAGCCCCGGGCUUAACCUGGGAAUUGCGCUUGAUACUGGAGAACUAGAGUUCGGGAGAGGAUGGUGGAAUUCCCAGUGUAGAGGUGAAAUUCGUAGAUAUUGGGAAGAACACCGAUGGCGAAGGCAGCCAUCUGGACCGACACUGACGCUGAGGCGCGAAAGCGUGGGGAGCAAACAGG
Molecule: ribosomal RNA, 253 nt
Filed under: uncultured bacterium
Lineage: Bacteria
Description: partial 16S ribosomal RNA
Rfam family: Bacterial small subunit ribosomal RNA
Source: RNAcentral